This 62-nucleotide microRNA precursor is filed under the name Anolis carolinensis (green anole). Its description in RNAcentral is "Aca-Mir-425_pre stem-loop". The record is from RNAcentral. Lineage: Eukaryota; Metazoa; Chordata; Lepidosauria; Squamata; Anolidae.
AAUGACACGAUCACUCCCGCUGAGCGAGCAGAGCCACGGCCACGGGGAUGUCGUGUCUGUCC